AACGAACGCUGGCGGCAGGCCUAACACAUGCAAGUCGAGCGAGCAUUUCGGUGCUAGCGGCGGACGGGUGAGUAACGCGUGGGAACGUGCCCUUUUCUGCGGAAUAGUCCUGGGAAACUGGGGGUAAUACCGCAUACGCCCUUUUGGGGAAAGAUUUAUCGGAGAAGGAUCGGCCCGCGUUGGAUUAGGUAGUUGGUGGGGUAAUGGCCCACCAAGCCGACGAUCCAUAGCUGGUUUGAGAGGAUGAUCAGCCACACUGGGACUGAGACACGGCCCAGACUCCUACGGGAGGCAGCAGUGGGGAAUCUUAGACAAUGGGGGCAACCCUGAUCUAGCCAUGCCGCGUGAGUGAUGAAGGCCUUAGGGUGGUAAAGCUCUUUCAGCUGGGAAGAUAAUGACGGUACCAGCAGAAGAAGCCCCGGCUAACUCCGU
This 432-nucleotide ribosomal RNA is filed under the name uncultured bacterium. RNAcentral describes it as "partial 16S ribosomal RNA". It matches the Rfam family "Bacterial small subunit ribosomal RNA", at positions 29 to 506 of the family's 1533-position model. The record is from RNAcentral.